Molecule: long non-coding RNA, 5627 nt
Filed under: Sus scrofa (pig)
Lineage: Eukaryota; Metazoa; Chordata; Mammalia; Artiodactyla; Suidae
Description: lncRNA (ENSSSCG00030050783.1)
Source: RNAcentral
UCAGCGUCCCUCCCGGUGAUGUUCGCAGCGGUUGUCGGGCGCCAUCUAGCGGCAUCUUUUUUUUUUUUUUUUUUUUUUUUUUUUUUUGUCUUUUUAGGGCCACGCCCAGGGCACAUGGAGAUUCCCAGGCGAGGGGUUAAAUCGGAGCGGCCCUAGAAAAGGCAAAAAAAAAAGACAAAAAAAAAAAAUGAGUUAGAAAGUAUGACCUCUGCUUCUGUCUUCUGGAAGAGAUCAUAGAGAAUUGGUAUAAUUUCUUCCUUAUUUGUUUGGUAGAAGUGACCACUGAAUUCAUAUGGGUCUGGUGCUUUCUCUUUUGAAAGAUUAUUAAUUAUUGACUAAUUUUCCUUAAUAGGUAUAGGCCUUUUGGAUUGUUCUUCUUGUGUGCCCAAAAGUAGACAUGCAUAAAUAUAGUUAACUGAUCUUUGAUAAAUGGAGCAAAGGCAUAUAAGGGAGCAAAGACAGUGUUUUCUACAAAUAGUGCUGGGACAACUAGAUAUAUACAUACAAAACAAAUGAAUCCAGGCAUAGACCUUAUAGAAGUUACAAAAAUUAAUUCAUAAUGGAUUGUAGAUGUAUAUGAGAAAUGCAAAAUUAUAAGACUCCUAGAAGAUGACAUAGAAGAAAUUCUAGAUGACCUUAGGUUUGGCAAUAACUUUCUAGACUCAAGAUGAAGGGCACAGUCUAUGAAAGAAAAUAUUGAUAAGUUAGAGUUAAUUAAAAUAAGAAUGUGUGCUCUGCAAAAGACACCAUCAAAAGAAUGGGAAGACAAGCCACAGAAACCAGGAGAAGAUAUUUGCAAAAGACAUAUGAAAAGGAACAUCAUACAAAAUAUUUUUUAAAAGUCUUCAAAGUCAACAAUAUGACAAACAACCUGGCCAAAAAAUGGGCCCAAAACCUUAGUAGACAUCUCACUAAAUAAGAUAUACAGGUGGCAGUAGUUCCUGUUGUGGCUCAGUGGGUUAAGAAGCUGACAUAGUGUCCGUGAGGAUUCAGGUUUGAUCCCUGACCUCAAUCAGUGGUUUAAGAAUCUGGUGUGGCCACAAGCUGUGGCAUAGGUCGCACAUGCAGCUCAGAUCUGAUGUUGCUGUGGCUGUGGUAUAGGCAGGCAGCUGCAGCUCCAAUUUGACCCCUAGCUGAGGAACUUCCAUAUGCUGUAGGUGCAGCCAUAAAAAGAAAAAACAAAGAUAUGCAGAUGGCAAAUAAGCACAUGAAAAGUUGUUCAACAUUAUGUGUCAUUUGGGAAUUGCAAGUUAAAACAGCAAUGAGAUACCAGUAGAAUGGCCAAAAUCUAAAAUACUGACAACACCAAAUGCUGAUGAGUUGUGUAGCAAUAUGAACUCUCAUUUGAUUCCGGUGGGAAUGCAAAAUAACACAGCCACUUUGAAGAAAAGUUUGACAUUUUCUUAUAAAACUAUGCUCUUACUGUAAAACCCAGCAAUUGUGCUCCUUAGUUUAUCAAAAGGUGUUGAAAACUAUGUAUGCCAAAAACCUGCACAUAGAUGUGUACAGCAGCUUUAUUCAUAACUGCCAAAACUUAGAAGCAACUAAGUGUCCUUCAGUAGGUCAAUGGAUAAACAGAUACAUUCAGAUAAUAAAAUAUUAUUCAGUGCUGAAGAGAAAUGAACUAACAAGUCAUGAAAAGACAUGGAGGAAUCUUAAAUGCAUAUUACUAAGUGAAAGAAGCCAACCUGUGUGAGUCUUUGUGAGUCCAAAUAUACGACAUUCUGGAAAUGGCAAAACUAUGAAGAUGGUAAAAAUAUUAGUGGCUGCCAGAAGUUGGCGGAAAGAGAAGAAUAAAUAGGCAGAACACAGAGGAUUGUUAGGGCAGUGUCUUAAUAUUGGGGUCUGCUAUAACAGAAUACCAUUAACUGGGGUGGUUUAUAUCUGACAGAGACUGAUUCUCACAAUUCUAGAGGCUGGGAAGUUCAGGACCAAGGGGCUGACAGAUCUACUUUCUGGUAAGAGCCUACUUUCAGGUUCAAAGACAGCUGUCUUUUUGCUGGGUCCUCACAUGGCAGAGGAAGCCAAGGAUCUCUCUGGGGCUUCACUUUUAUAAGGACACCAAUCCCAUUGAUGAGAGUUCAACCAUUAUGACCUAAUCACCUCCCAAAGGCUUCACCUCCAAAUACCAUUGCAUUGGGCAUUAGGCUUUAACAUGUGACAUUUGGAGGGACACAACCAUUCAGUUCAGAGCAGGUAGAGAAACUAUUCUGUAUGAAUCUGUAAUGAUAGGUACAUGUAAUUAUACAUUUGUCAAAACCCAGAGACUGCCCCAAAAAAAGUGUGACCCCAAAUGUAAAGCAUGGGCUUUGGGUGAAAGUGUAUCAGUGAAGGUUCAUCUGUUGGAACAAAUGUUCUACUCUGCUCUGGAAUGUUUAUGGUUGGGAAGGCUGUGCAUGUAUGAGGCAAGGAGUAUAUAGGAAAUCUUGAUACUUUCUCUUCCAUUUUGCUAUGAACCUAAAACUGCAUAAAGUCCACUUUUUAAAAGUUAAAAUAAUAAUGUUUCAUGAUACGUAGAACACAAUUACUCUUUUGUUUACAUGUUGUCUCUGACUGCCUUCAUGUUACAAGGGCAAAGUUGAGUAGUUGCUACAAAGCCCACAAAGCCUCAAAUAUUUACUGUCUGACCCCUUAUAGAAAAGGCUCACAACCCCUGAUUCAUAAGAUAACUUGCUAAAAACUGACUUAGUUGUGUAGAAAAAUCAAGCUGCCUUCUUCUCUCCUACCAUAAGCCAAUCUGAAAUAAAAUGGACUUAGAUAUGAAGGAUAAAACUAAAAUAUUAUAGAAAUGCAGAAUAUUUGUGAUCUAGGGGUAGAAAAAGACUUAAUGGUUGGAAAAGCACAAGAUAUAAGGAUUAGUAUUCUUCAAUUUAGUUUCAUAAGAUCUAAAUCAAGAAAUUCCAUCUGAGGAAGAAUACCAUGGACAAAGUUAAGAGGUAGUGAAGACUAGAAGAAAAUAUUAUAAUGUCCAAAACUGGCAAGGAAAUGUCUAGAAUGUACACAAACUAAUUGCACACCAACAAAAAUUGGAAAGGAUGUCAACAAUAAGUAAAUAAAAGAUACCAAUUUUCCCCUAUUUUUUUUUCCACAUAAACUUCACUGUUAAUAUUGUUCUUGUCUGCUUAUCCCAGGAAAUUGUUGCAUUUUUACUAUUAGCUUGUCUUUUAUUUUCAUAAAAUAAAUUCCCUUUAACAUGGUAAAUCAGUGAACAUUUUUUUUAUUUGGUCAUGCCGGCGGCAUGUAGAAUUUCCUGGGCCAGAGAUCGAACCUGUGCCACAGCAGCAAUCUCUGCUGCUGCAGUGACAAUGCCAGAUCCUUAACCUCUUGUGCCACAAGGGAACUCAAAGUCAGUGAAACUUUUAAAUGAAGGCAACCUGCUAGAGAAAUUCAAGAAAAAGGCUUGUAAAUUUAAACUUCCAUAUCUUAGUACAUUAGUAAGGAAAUAUUCUUCUAUUUGGUUAAUGGUCAUCACAAAUUUGAAUCGGGGUACAAAACUUUUGUGCUAUCAUAUGCAGAACAGAACAUAGACAUUUAAAAAAAAAAAAACAAAGCAUAGCACAAAACAAUGAAUGUUACCACCCGGUGAGAAGUGAACUAGGAUCUUUACCAUAAACAAAUGACUUUUUAAAAGCGAAAAACCUAAUGCCUAUUAUGAAUUAAUUUACUAAUUUAGAAUGGUUAUAUUUAGUGCCUAGAAACUAUAAUUCAUAUUUUAGUGUGUGUGAUAUGCACAACUGCCAACUGUCUGAUCCCAACUACCCUCCAUUCUCAUACUCCUCCCCUUUUCCACCUCCCCAGUUCCCUCAAACACUCGGGUUAAAUAUUUCCCAGAACCUUGCCACUUAAAGAGUGGCGAAUGGACCAACAGUAUUAGCAACACCUUCUAGUUAAAAAUUCAAACCCUCUGGAGUUUGCUUCAUGGCUCAGCGGUUACGAACCUGAUUAGCGUCCAUGAGGAUGAGGGUUUGAUCCCUGGCCUUGCUCGGUGGGUUAAGGAUCUGGUGCUGCCAUGAGCUGUGGUAUAGGUCACAGAUGCGGCUCAGAUCCUGCAUUGCUGUGGUGUAGGCCGGCAGCUGCAGCUCCGAUUCGACCCCUAGCCUGGGAAUGUCCAUAUGCCGAAUGUGCGGCCCUAAAAAGACCAAAAAAAAAAAAAAAACGCAAUUAUUCAGGUCCUAUUCCAAACCUACUAAAUCAGAGUCUACUUCCAUAAGAUCCCCUGGAGUUCUAUUUGCAUGUUAAAAUUUGAGAUACUUGGAGCUGCCAUUUGCAACUAUUUCUCCCUCUGCAGUGUUUUCUAAGAACUUAAUCACUGUUAACUUUUUAAAAUAAUUUUAUGCCUUUCAAUUAUGCACACAUCACCAGCGACAGCUAUUUACAUAUCUCUUCCACCUUGUGAAACUGUUUAUAGAUUGUUACUGAAGUGAAACUGUUAACAGAAACUUCUCCAAGUUGGUCAUGUCUUAGUGGUGUAGCAGUGUGGGGAGAAUAAAGGUUUAGGACUAAGUAGAAAUCUCGGACCUACUACAUAUUCCGCGCGUGAUCUCAGAGAAGUAACUUAAACCUCUAUGAAAUCAUUUCAAUUAGGGAGAUGAUGGUACACAGAGUGCAGAGCAUUUGGUAAGAUAACAUGUAAAUCAACCUUGGCACCUAGUAGGGCUCAGGAUUACUUCUGGCCCCUUUGAAGCACAGGGCUGUUGUACUUGAAGAUGCUCUUAAUAAAUGCAAAGUUAAUAAUGGAUUUUCCUUUUAACUACCCACUGGUAAGUUAUAAUAGAAUUGCCCUGGCUUAAGAAAAUACUUAUAAUGAGAAGUCUGCUGAUACAAAAAAAAUAUAUACCAGUUUACUAUCCCCUUCUAAAGGGACUGUGGUCCCUAGUGGAGUCCUAGCAUUUUGAAGUUAAAGGUUAUCUCUUCAUGGUGCCUUUUCUUUGAAUGAAAAGGCUUACAAUUCUUUAGCAUAAAAAUUAUAUUUACACAUACUAUAUGUAUAACUAGUAUCUAUAUGUAUGUAUUCCUCAUAUUUAUAAAUAUAAUAUUUCUUAUACUUCUUCCAACACUCUCCAAUCAAGUCACAGUUACCGCUUUCAUUAAAGUCCACAUCCUUCCCCCCAAGAACAGUGCUGUAACAUUUCCUCCCCAUUUCUUCUAAAAAGCAACUACACUGCUGUUGCACCUACCUGCAAGGAUGGUGACUACACAAACCUGAUCUCCCAAGCCUGAAUGUACCCAGUGGGCACAUCUGACGAAACUGCCUCUAAAAUAAGGCAUUUUUGCAUAAUAGCCUACUGGAAAUGACUUUACGGAGUGUAAAAUAAAAAAGUGUUGCCUGUCAUUUCAGUUCUACAAGGAUCAAGCUAUUAGCCACUGCAAUUGCCCAUGGAUGGUUCACUCCUUGGGGAAUUCAGGAUGGAGAAAAACAGAAGGCAUUCUGAACCAUCUUCAGGAAGGCAUAUAUCUGCAUGAAGGCACACACACAGUUCAGAUACACAUCUAAGGAAAAAUUUUCAUUGACCCCAGAUUCUUCCCAUUCAUAGAAAAACACUAAAAUCAUUAACUUGAGAUGCCUGUUCUUUGCCAUUAGUAGUAAUUUUUGGAUGUUCCAGCACAUGUUUUCUUUCUCAACCAAA